RNAcentral lists this ribosomal RNA (292 nucleotides) under uncultured prokaryote. RNAcentral's name for it is "partial 16S ribosomal RNA". It matches the Rfam family "Bacterial small subunit ribosomal RNA", at positions 505 to 796 of the family's 1533-position model. The record is from RNAcentral.
GUGUCAGCAGCCGCGGUAAUACGUAGGGUGCGAGCGUUAUCCGGAAUUAUUGGGCGUAAAGGGCUCGUAGGCGGUUUGUCACGUCUGCUGUGAAAGCCCAGGGCUUAACCCUGGGUUUGCAGUGGGUACGGGCAGGCUGGAGUGCAGUAGGGGAGACUGGAAUUCCUGGUGUAGCGGUGAAAUGCGCAGAUAUCAGGAGGAACACCGAUGGCGAAGGCAGGUCUCUGGGCUGUUACUGACGCUGAGGAGCGAAAGCAUGGGGAGCGAACAGGAUUAGAAACCCCAGUAGUCC